RNAcentral lists this ribosomal RNA (253 nucleotides) under uncultured bacterium. Its description in RNAcentral is "partial 16S ribosomal RNA". It matches the Rfam family "Bacterial small subunit ribosomal RNA", at positions 524 to 776 of the family's 1533-position model. The record is from RNAcentral.
UACGGGGGGAGCAAGCGUUGUUCGGAUUUACUGGGCGUAAAGGGCGCGUAGGCGGCGCAACAAGUCACUUGUGAAAUCUCCGGGCUUAACCCGGAGCGGCCAAGUGAUACUGUCGUGCUAGAGUGCGGAAGGGGCUACUGGAAUCCUCGGUGUAGCGGUGAAAUGCGUAGAUAUCGAGAGGAACACCUGCGGCGAAGGCGGGUAGCUGGGCCGACACUGACGCUGAGGCGCGAAAGCCAGGGGAGCGAACGGG